RNAcentral lists this long non-coding RNA (837 nucleotides) under Pan troglodytes (chimpanzee). RNAcentral's name for it is "lincRNA". The record is from RNAcentral. Lineage: Eukaryota; Metazoa; Chordata; Mammalia; Primates; Hominidae.
GAGAGAGAGAGAACUAAAAACCCUGAAGGAUGGUUCUCAAAAAUUCUAAAGGAACCACAGGGAAUUCCUUUUAAGAGCAACAGAAAGCAAGCUAGCUGAGGCUUCUGGACUUUUUGAAUUCUGAAACCAAAAGAAGAAUAAGUCGAAGAAUUCUUACUUUGGUAUGUAGAAGCGUUCCAAUUUGUUUGGUCUAAAAGUUAUCCAUGGAAUUUUCUUCAGAGUGCUCUGUUUCAUUCAAUGUAGUUAAAGGUUGAUUUCAGGUAAUUUCUGAGAUGUGAUGAUUUGGAAAAUGUAAGACAUAAAAAUGAGGAACUUACGCGUUAAUGGCUUUACUUUCAAAAUGCCUAUGUAUCUUUCUGGCAUGAAUUUGACUUGGCUCAUCACAGCUCUGAUAUCCUCUGCACAUUGAGGUGUUGUAGUUACUACUUAAUAUUUGGUCUGGAAAAAAUGAAUCCAGUUGCUAAAGAUUUUGUUGGUGGGUAGUCCGCAGCAGAACGAUUGCUACGGGAGGUGCUGGCUGUAUAAGUCAUGAGCUUUGAUAAUUUCAGUGCUUAACGUACGGCUGCUGGUCUUGAUAAAGUACCACAUGAUGGCUCAUAGUUGCAUUCCUAGUUGAAACUCAGCACAACUCUGGAUUCUGAUUGUUCUACAAAUGAAUGAGAUACAAUAGUAAGGAAAUCCACAGAAUAGUAAAACAGAAUGUUGUUUGUUGGAAUUCAUUUCUGUGGCUGUAGGUAGAAGACGAUAUGGCAAAUUCACUCACCAGAAAAUUGUACUGUGAGUUUUUUGUUUUUGUUUUUGUUUUACAUAAGAGAAAAGAAGGUAAAAAAAAGAGAA